This 445-nucleotide ribosomal RNA is filed under the name uncultured bacterium. Its description in RNAcentral is "partial 16S ribosomal RNA". It matches the Rfam family "Bacterial small subunit ribosomal RNA", at positions 354 to 796 of the family's 1533-position model. The record is from RNAcentral.
GUGAGGAAUAUUGGUCAAUGGGCGGGAGCCUGAACCAGCCAAGUCGCGUGAAGGAAGAAGGAUCUAUGGUUCGUAAACUUCUUUUGCAGGGGAAUAAAGUGCAGGACGUGUCCUGUUUUGUAUGUACCCUGAGAAUAAGGAUCGGCUAACUCCGUGCCAGCAGCCGCGGUAAUACGGAGGAUCCGAGCGUUAUCCGGAUUUAUUGGGUUUAAAGGGUGCGUAGGUGGUUUGAUAAGUCAGCGGUGAAAGUUUGCAGAUUAACUGUAAAAAUGCCGUUGAAACUGUCGGACUUGAGUGUAAAUGAGGUAGGCGGAAUGUUGCAUGUAGCGGUGAAAUGCUUAGAUAUGCUACGGAACACCGAUUGCGAAGGCAGCUUACUAUUUCGUAAUUGACGCUGAGGCACGAAAGCGUGGGUAGCGAACAGGAUUAGAUACCCGGGUAGUCC